RNAcentral lists this ribosomal RNA (806 nucleotides) under uncultured alveolate. RNAcentral describes it as "bacterial SSU rRNA". It matches the Rfam family "Eukaryotic small subunit ribosomal RNA", at positions 50 to 994 of the family's 1831-position model. The record is from RNAcentral.
CAUGCACGUCUAAGUACAAACUAAAUGAUGGUGAAACUGCAAAUGGCUCAUUACAACGGUUAUGAUGUACCCGGGAGUUCCGAUGGAUAUUUCCAGUAACACUAGAACUAAUACAUGCUCCUGCGUUUAUUAGUUUCGCACAGUCCGUCGCUGAGUCAUGGUAAACAGUUGAUCGACUCGACGUCCCGGAACAGUUUCCGCCCCAUCAGCUUCGAUGGUUGGGUAUUGGCCUACCAUUGCAACAACGGGUAACGAGGAAUUAGGGUUUGAUUUCGGAGAGGGAGCCUGAGAAACGGCUACCACAUCUACGGAUGGCAGCAGGCGCGCAAAUUACCCAAUGCAGACUCUGUGAGGUAGUGACGAGAAAUAAUAAAGCGGGACUUCUGUUUCGCUAUUAUAAUGAGGAAUAACCAAAGGUCAUUCCGAUUAGCAACUGAUGGGAAAGUCUGGUGCCAGCAGCCGCGGUAAUACCAGCGUCAGUAGCAUAUAUUAAGAUUGUUGCAGUUAAAACGUCCGUAGUCUGUACGUCGUCCCAAACUCACUGCAGUCUUCCGUUUUCUUCAUUGAAUGCGGUAGUUUCUGCAGUCACUCCCUUGAUCAAAUUAGGUUGUUCAAGGUAGACCAAGUCUUCAUAUUUUCACAUGGAAUUGGGUGAGGGAACUUAAGAGUUUAAGUUUCUCGUCUUAGGAUCAUCCGGGGUCAUUCGUACUCGUCCGCGAGAGGUGAAAUUCUUGGACCGGACGAAGACGACCAGCAGCGAAAGCAUCUGUCAGGGAUGUUUUCUGCGACAAAGGACGAAGGUCAGG